GAGGGUAUAGCUCAGUGGUAGAAUGCAUGCCUAGUAUGAACGAGGUCCUGGUUCAAUCCCUGGUACCUCCA
Molecule: transfer RNA, 71 nt
Filed under: Camelus dromedarius (Arabian camel)
Lineage: Eukaryota; Metazoa; Chordata; Mammalia; Artiodactyla; Camelidae
Also listed under: 1 other name
Rfam family: tRNA
About the family: Transfer RNA (tRNA) molecules are approximately 80 nucleotides in length.
Source: Rfam by way of RNAcentral